GACGAACCGUGCGAACGUUAUUCGGAAUCACUGGGCUUAAAGCGCGUGUAGGCGGGCCGGCGCGUCGGUGCCUGAAAGCCCCCGGCUCAACCGGGGAACUGGGGCCGAUACGGCCGGCCUGGAGGGGCGUAGGGGGACCUGGAACUUCCGGUGGAGCGGUGAAAUGCGUUGAGAUCGGAAGGAACGCCCGUGGCGAAAGCGAGGUCCUGGACGCCUGCUGACGCUGAGACGCGAAAGCCAGGGUAGCGAACGGG
This 254-nucleotide ribosomal RNA is filed under the name uncultured Singulisphaera sp. RNAcentral's name for it is "partial 16S ribosomal RNA". It matches the Rfam family "Bacterial small subunit ribosomal RNA", at positions 524 to 776 of the family's 1533-position model. The record is from RNAcentral. Lineage: Bacteria; Pseudomonadati; Planctomycetota; Planctomycetia; Isosphaerales; Isosphaeraceae.